UNGCAUCUCACCCUGGACAGGCAAGCCUGGUU
RNAcentral lists this non-coding RNA (32 nucleotides) under Mus musculus (house mouse). The record is from RNAcentral. Lineage: Eukaryota; Metazoa; Chordata; Mammalia; Rodentia; Muridae.